RNAcentral lists this ribosomal RNA (778 nucleotides) under uncultured Neocallimastigales. RNAcentral describes it as "partial large subunit ribosomal RNA". It matches the Rfam family "Eukaryotic large subunit ribosomal RNA", at positions 20 to 622 of the family's 3401-position model. Lineage: Eukaryota; Fungi; Neocallimastigomycota; Neocallimastigomycetes; Neocallimastigales. The record is from RNAcentral.
ACUAGAGUAGCACUCGCAUAUCAAUAAGCGGAGGAAAAGAAACUAACAAGGAUUCCCCUAGUAACGGCGAGUGAAGCGGGAAGAGCUCGAAUUUGAAAUCUUAAAGGGUUUCCCUUUACGAAUUGUAGUUUAAAGAAGUGUUUUCUGUUGAGGUUUUGGUAAAAGUUCUUUGGAAUAGGACAUCAUAGAGGGUGAGAAUCCCGUAUUUGACCUUUACUUUCAACUUUGUGAUACACUUUCAAAGAGUCGGAUUGUUUGGGAAUGCAGUCCAAAAUGGGUGGUAAAUUUCAUCUAAAGCUAAAUAUUAGGCGAGAGACCGAUAGCGAACAAGUACCGUGAGGGAAAGAUGAAAAGAACUUUGAAAAGAGAGUUAAACAGUACGUGAAAUUGUCAAAAGGGAAGCGUUUGACACCAGUGUUGUUUUUUCUGAAAAUCAAUUAAAGAACUGUUUAUGCUAAGCUUGUUUAGACUUUAUCAGCUAAUCUGUUUAGUUUUGAGCUUUUCUUUAAUGCACUUUUCAGUUAACAAGUCAACAUCAAUUUCUUUUGCUGUAAAAAAGCUUGAGGAAGGUGGCUUGAGAUUCGUCUUAAGUGUUUAUAGCCUCUUGCCUAUGCAGUCGGAGAGAUUGAGGUCUGCAGCGUAGAUCCUUCGGGGCUAAAGUGCAUUUGUGCUAAGUUAUAGCAUUUUAUAGACAACUUGUUGACUAUGAUUUGUCUUGUAGCUUACUCGCUUAUGUUAUUUUACCUACGCUUAGGAUGUUGAACUCUAUCACACACAG